GCUGAAAAACAUAACCCAUAAAAUGCUAGCUGUACCAGGAACCACCUCCUUAGCCUGUGUAAUCUCCCUUACACGGGCUUAUUUUUU
RNAcentral lists this non-coding RNA (87 nucleotides) under Escherichia coli. RNAcentral's name for it is "sRNA antisense regulator of ompX mRNA instability, Hfq-dependent, cAMP-induced". It matches the Rfam family "CyaR/Rye RNA". From Rfam's summary of the family: This sRNA was originally identified in a large scale screen of E. coli. It was shown to bind Hfq and called RyeE. This sRNA has since been characterised as a post-transcriptional regulator of the 18 kDa OmpX porin in Salmonella. The record is from RNAcentral. RNAcentral also lists the same sequence under 6 other names. Lineage: Bacteria; Pseudomonadati; Pseudomonadota; Gammaproteobacteria; Enterobacterales; Enterobacteriaceae.